This 4424-nucleotide long non-coding RNA is filed under the name Nicotiana benthamiana. Its description in RNAcentral is "long non-coding RNA (NBEN_LNC003448)". The record is from RNAcentral. Lineage: Eukaryota; Viridiplantae; Streptophyta; Magnoliopsida; Solanales; Solanaceae.
AAAUUGUCCGAACAAGAGCCUAAACCCCUCCCCCCAUACCAAUUCUCUCACUCUCCAUUCUCUGUGAAGACAAAACCCUAGCCGCCCAUAAAACCCUCACCGCCUCGGCCGCAAAUCGCCUACCGAAAAUCGCCGCAAACCGCCCAUAGACUCCCCUUCACCUCCCCAUUCUAAAUAUAUACUCCCUUUUCUUCAAAUCCGUCGAGGCCUUUUCGAAUUUUAAAUAAAAAAACUCAGCCAAAUUUGAACCAUUCCAAAUCAUCUCAAAUUCACGCCCUAUGAUGCUUACCCUUAGAUCUGGUGAUGCAGAAGAGUCCUAAAGUUUCUCUUCUUGUUUUCCUGGUCUUCAUUUAGUCGAGUGGAAUUAAAACCUCCAUUAGUUGACUGCUCUUUUUAAGAACAAUCGAUUAAUGUUGGUCCAAAAUCCAUAUCAUAUUUCAGGAAAUUUUGGACAAUGCUUUAUUUUGAUCCAGUGUUGGUUUAAAUCGGGUAAACCCUUUUCUUUAUCUUUUUGAUUGUUAAUUUUGUUCUUUCUCCCUUCUAUGCAUGCAUGAUUUUCCUUUCUUUUAGCAGCAUGUUAGGUUUUCUUAUUUUGUUUUUCCUCUUGUGAUAAGUUAAUUAUUUCCUAACAUCUAUUUUAAUUAAAGCAUCUGUAAUUUGUUUAAGUCUAUGUUAGUUUAGGUUUGUUUGUCGAAUUGGAUGUUCAUAGCUGCUCUUUUAUAAUUUAUUCUCCUAGACACACGGUCAUCUGAUUUUAGUGUUAGAUUGUUUGUUUAAUUAGUAGUUGUUUAAACUUUUGUGCCAGAAUUACCUUGAUUCCAUAUUGAUUAAGUAUUCUCUUCUUCCAGCUUUAAGUUUAGAUUUUGUGAUAUGCUAGAUUAAUUCAGGUUUUAGGUGUUCCUUAUGAUUGUUGUAGUUAAUUAGGAAGAACAUUUUAAGUGAAGAUAGGCUGGGUCAAAUUCAAUUGACCACAAUUCUUUCUAAAUUUCCACUGUUCUAUUCACGAUUUGUGCGCCUUUUUAUCUGAUUCCAAGUUAUUUGCCUUGAUAUGAAAAUCAGCUGAACUUUUGGGUGCUCAUUUGGACUAGAAAGUUUGGGUAAAACCUGAAAUAGGUGAUAAUUUAAAGGGUAAAAAGGAUUUUUUUUACUUAGGCUUAAAUCAGAUAUUUUAGGAAAAGUGUACAACUAUCCUAGCUGUUUAAAAAUAUACUGAAAAUGGGACAGUUGUACCAAGUGUUGUUAAAAAGGACUGUACUAUUAUUCAUUAGGAUAAGGAAUAUGCUAAAAGAUGUCGUCCCAUUAGACAACUUUUAUAUAGCCUCUAUUGCUCUGUAAAAAAGGAGAUUUUUUGGAGGCACAUUUUAUUAGUAAUUCUCUCUGGAAAAGUUCCAUUUUCUUCUUUGAAAACUUCACAUUCAAAAUACCUUUGAAAACACCAGAAAUCUCCUACUCUUUUAAAAGUUUGAAAUAUGGUUUGAAGUAGAAAUACUUUUACUCCUUUAGCUGGAUCUGUGGGAUUUUAAGUUGUUUCCCAGUCUCUUUAUUUUGAGCCUCUGGCUCCUUUUUUGGUUAUUUUUGCUGCUGUCUUGUUUGGUUUACUGCUGAAGUUUAAUAUCUCUAGCUCUCUUUUGUUUUUUCCUGACCUUUAUUUGGUCAUUUUCUAGUCAGAUUUUUAGUUUUCAUGUAUGUACAAUGUCCAUCUUGAAUUAAAUCAAUAUUGUAUUUAAAAUCUGUAUUUGGAACUUAUUCGUAUAGCUUAUCUCUGGUAUUUGGUUUAUGAAUCAUGAUUUUUUUUGAUUUAGAGUUAAUGGGACUAUGUUCUAGUAUUAAAUGAUUGCCUAAAACAUUAAAUCAAUAGGGUUUUGCUCUAUUCAUAUAUCAAAAUUCACACCUUUGGAUUGCUAAAUGGGUAUGUGUAUGCACUUGUGAAACCUAUGUCCAGAGCUUCCCUCCUAUAACAGCACAAGUAGGAAGUGAAUCUAACAUUCGAAGUGGUCAGAUUUAUCCCUUUAUAGUGCAUAAUAAUCUGGAUUUUUGUUCAGUAAAUGUUCACAUUAUUUUCACUCUCCCAUCUUCUCCUUUACUGAAAUGAGAGCCAUGGAAUGAAUCAUGGUUUGAGAAUCAUUGUUUAUCUAUAAGGCUGACCCUUAAUAUGAUUAGGCUUAUGGACACAUUGUCUUUCUCUUUCACUCAUUUGUGUGUUAGGAUUAAUUUGGUUACAUUAUUCUAAUAGUGUGUUGAAUACUUCACUUAGCUUAAGUUUAUCUAAUGAUUAAGAGGGUGCAGAAUGUUUGAAUAUGAACUCUUUUUUUCUGUUGUUACCCUUUAAUUAAUAUUAAGGUUACAUUGGUUCAAGUCUCUUACGUAAACUAAUGGCUAUUUAUCAUUGUUAUUUAUUUGUGUUGCCAUGUGAUAUGGCCCUAAGGCCAAGAGGUUUUCAAAACUGAAGUUGAAAUAUAAACUUAUGAGGGACAGUUCCAUAGCUUCUCCCUUGCAAAUACACACGUUAUAUGAGAAAACUUUAUGGGCGAAGAGGGAAUUAGAAUCAUAAUAUUUUUUAGCCCAUUCAGGCAGUACUAUAGGUUGUAAAGAUAGUUUUUUUAUUCUAUUCUGGACUUGCAAGUGUUGUAAAUGGACUUUCUAUAACUUUAAAAUUCAUUUUUUUUUUGGUUCGCUUAAAUACUGGGUCACUGCAAUUUAGACCAAAUCGUUUAUAUUUCACAGCACGAAUUGGGCUUGGCUUAUUGCUUGGCCCAAGUUGAGACCCAUUCAAAUAGAUUUGAGGGUCUGGGCUGUUGAGCUUGGGCUUUAAGCCCAGUAGUCCGAUAAUGUGUAAAAUGCAUCCCUGAGUUGUGAUAUAAGUGCAUGCCUUUGUUAUUUUCCUCUUAAAAAUCAUAGUAUAUUUGCAGCGUUAACUUCUAAAGUUUCUUUUAAAAUGAAUUGUACUCCUUGCCUUUCUUUUCUUAUCCAAUUUGGUUAAAAAAUGCAAAGAAAUUCCAGUCUGUGCCAAUGCACAACUGGACUUGCCUAAAAUCCAAGCCCUAUGUGGGCUGUUUGUCCCAAAAUUUGUAAUUUAUGUCUUAUAACCUCUAAUUUCUGGGCCAUUCGCGAGCCCCAUUUUUCAGCCCUUAAAGCUAAUUCAUCAGUGGGCUGUUUCUGGACCAUUUCGUGUCCCCCAAAAGUAUUUUAAAAUCUCUCCCAUGAUUAACUAGCCUUGUUGAAUUAAUUCCUAAAUAGGAGCAUAUUGGUGAUUGUGAAUUAAUUUUUCUUGUAAGAAGAAAUCAUUCGAGGCGUACAAUGCCAAUUAAAAUCAUAAGAGUACAUGACCCUUGUAUUAGUUUCAUAAUUUAGAUCUAAUAAAUAUCAAAUACUCGUAGUUCUCUUUUGGCUCGAUUUUGACUAGCAUUGUGAUUAUGUAUGCGUUCGCACAACAUAAUUUCAAAUCUAAUUCUAAAACUGACUUGAAGGGUGCGUUCGCGCAACUUCAACCAAACUUUUCUUAAUAAAAGAAACCAAAGCGUUAUAAAUUGUGAACACAUUUGCGUGACAUGAUUUUGACGCGCCAAAAAAAGGAGUGUAUAUAGUAACUCAAUUCUUUAAUUACAAACAAAUCAAGUGAUUUAAAAUAGGUAAAAAGAUAAUUUCCCAUAGGUCUUAAAAUGUGUAUUUAAACAUAUUUAAGCCAAGUAAUAAUCACUAAGCGACUGUUCUAGAACCACGGAACCCGGGAAUGCCUAACACUUUCUCCCGGGUUAGAAAAAUUCCUUAUCUAGAAUUUCUGGUUCUCAAACUUGAAAAAGGAAAGUCUAAAUUUUCUUAAUUUGGGAUUUAAAAUAAAAUAGUGACUUGGGACAUCAUAAUUUAUUCCAAUUGGUGACUCUGAUAAAAAUAAAUAAUCACAUUUCGAAUAAUGUCAGUUAAAUUGGAAAAAUUCCCUUAUAUAUUUCCCUCUCAGGGUAUGGUAAAAAGGAGGUGUGACAGGGUGACUCUGCUGGGGACAAGAACCCAGAACUUCCGGUUCAGGGUUCAAGAAUUCGAGCUUGUUAAUGCGAUUUUUAUUUGGCUUCAUUGUUGAUAUUACUGUAUUUUGUGGACUUAAUGUUCUAAUUGUCAUUUACCGCUUUGAUAUUAUUUGAAUUGUAUUUAAGUGUCUUCUUACGCCACCUACCUGAGUCUUCUGAAAAUGGUGCACACGUUCGCAUGGCCCACUUUUCUGUAGAAUUGAUACCAAAAUAAGACGGGACUAGGCAAGCAACAAGUCCGGGCAGACUUUCAUGCUCCCGGUACGUUGUCCCCUCCUCGACCCUAGUUGUCCGCUCGGGUAACCCAAGUCUAGACUACAAACUCAGGUUUUAAACUUAGAAUAACGCAACCUCAUGCUGGAUCCCUUGUAGAAACGAUUGUUUGCAUCAUGCAUUUGACCU